Hordeum vulgare subsp. vulgare (domesticated barley) is the source of this 138-nucleotide non-coding RNA. Lineage: Eukaryota; Viridiplantae; Streptophyta; Magnoliopsida; Poales; Poaceae. The record is from Rfam.
AACAUAGUCCCUCCGUCCCAAAAUUCUCAUCUUAGAGAUUUGUUUAGAUAUGAAUGUAUCUAGUCAAGUUUUAAUAUUUAGAUACAUUCAUUUUUAGACAAAGCUAAGACAAGAAUUAUGGGACGGAGGGAGUAUGUU